Non-coding RNA from Petromyzon marinus (sea lamprey), 536 nucleotides. NCBI's taxonomy places the organism in Eukaryota, Metazoa, Chordata, Hyperoartia, Petromyzontiformes, Petromyzontidae. The record is from RefSeq and is a predicted model, not a curated record.
CCCACUCACCCCUUGUCCACCCCCAGCGGUGAGUGAGCGUCUGGGUGAGCUGCUGGUGAGGAGGGUGAGGCACGUCCUCACCGAGAUGCUGAGGGUGGAUCUCAGCCGUCCUCGCCCUCCGUGCCGGGGACUUCGGCAGGGUCGGCGAGCUCAUGGCGGCCAGCCACGCGUCGCUACGCGACGACUACGAGGUGAGCUGCCCCGAGGCGGACCAGCUGGUGCGGCUGUCCUCCGCCUGUCCCGGCGUGCUGGGCGCUCGCCUCACAGGCGGAGGCUUCGGCGGCUGCGUCGUCGCCAUGGUUACCGGCUGCACGCGCCUGGAGGCGGAGCAGAACCUCCAAGGCCUCGUCCGGCACGUCCAGGAGCACUACAGUGGGCAGGCCAAGUUUUACCGAGCAGUGCCAAGCGGUGGAGCUCACUCACUCAGCCUGUAGCACAACCACCACCACAACAACAACCACAACCACAACAACAACAACCACCACAACAACAACCACCACAACAACAACCACCACAACAACAACCACAACAACAAC